UCCGAUUGUAGUAGGAGAGUGAAAAUGGCGUAGACUGGAGGGUGUGCGAAGAAGGGACGAGGGGACCUUCUCCUCUCCUUUCUGUGGUUUCGGCGGCGGGGGGGUGGGCUCCCGGCCGCCGAUAUCUCCUCUCUGAAUGCAGACGCACCUGUUUCGGCCCGCCCGGUCAGGAAUACAGCCGUGCGCUCCAGGUGCGGAGAUACAAACGUGUCACCGUGGUGGAAGAAACCCCUGGCUUUUGUUUACCAGCGUGUGCAGCUGCAGCUCAACUCACAGUGGAAAUAUCCCUCAUUUUGGACUCACGCCCACCAAGUUGCAAAGUCAGCUGAUGCCCAGACUGGAGAGAUGUCUCCCCCAGGCCAGAGCCAGCUUCCCCCGCAGCAGCCCGACUGACCACUUGCCACCACCACCCAGACCUGUGGGAGCACAGCCUGAGGAGGCAUGGUGACAGGAGCCCGUCCCGGCUUGAGGAGAUGGCCUCCUGUGCAGGGAAGUUGCCGGGACACUGGCCUCUCCUCCACAGCACCCCCCUCCCCAUCCUCCCCCUUCUUUCCUGCCGUGUCUGCAGCCUGAUCAGUGAGGGCAUCUGCAGAAAUUUGGGCCAGUCUGACUUCAGUCACUUACACAACACCCUGUGUCUACAUUUAGCCUGAAAGUGGGUUGCAGCUGCCAGCUUGGCUGAAAAGUACACGAGUUGGUGCGCUGCUGCAGAAUCCUCAUCGUCUGGAAGUUUGCAUCAGAUUUUAUUAAGCCUCACAAAUGAUCAGGCUACAUGUAAACACAGUCGCCGAUGUUUCCUGAGUUGCUUUAAUAAACGCAGCCACCCCCUCGUGCUAUAAUUAGAACUAGUUUUAUUAUGAACAAAUUGCUCUUAGCUCCCAUUUUGCUGGGAGGAAAGUAAGACACAACAAACUGUAGCAAAGAUCUAGGCCUGUGAUUGAAAUUUGACUCCUAGGGUGUUUUUUUGCACUACCUCAUUGUCAUACAAGUGGAACAAUAGUGAAAGGGAGUGUGAUCAGUAUGUGUAGCCAAACAGUUGUCAAGCGCCACCGCAGUUCUUAUAGUGUUCCCUAGAUGCAUUUGGUUUUUAAUCUCAUAGUCCCAGAUAGGGUUGAAAUGGCUGGUAAUGUUGCCACAGGUGAAGCCCAACAAACUCCUGCACCAACUUUUCUUUGGUUAAACCAUCUUGGGAAAAAAAAGAGAACAUGUCAUACUGCCUGUUUCCUAUGCACCUGUUGUGAAGAAGUCAUAAUGUCAUAGCAUUUUUUUUCCUGUUUUUCCUCUGUGUUCUCAUUUGUCUGUUAUCAAAGCGAGCAAAAGGCAACUAUACAGAAGUUUGUGCACAAACUUUCCCACUUUCCCUUCGUGAUGCGACCCCUGAGUGAGAAAUUCAUCAACACACUCUCAGUUUCUCCUUCUUUUCCCAUGGCGAACCCUGAACAUGCUCUUGUCAUUUUCUCCCCCAACAUGCUAAAAUGUUUUAAUGGCAAGCAGUAGACAUAAAUGGGAGUUUAUUCAUUGCAGGUAGAGACAAAAUUGGACAUUUUGCCCCCUUCAUGACUCGGCAUGAGAUAAACAUCCCAUAGCAAAAUCACAAGUCGGUUUAUUUUGCCUCAUGUGGUCCCUUUAUUGGUUUAUUUGGUCUCUGCCUGUCUUCGUCUUUGGUGUGUUUCAUUGGUCCAGAGAUGCCAAUGCUGUACCGUGAGAUAUCCGGUUCAAACUAUUUCCACCUUGGAUUGGUCCUUACCUGAGCGUAACCCUGGUAUCAUUAUUUUUAAUUCCUAUUUUGGUUGAUUUUCAUAUGAUUUACAAAAAAACAAAAAACAAAAAAAAUCAAAAAAACAAAAAAACAUUUACCGGGAUUUGUGCAAUAUUUGAUCUUAAACUGUCAUGUUGUUGACCAAACUGUAUAUUGUAUAAACAAGUGACAAGUUGUUUGAAAGCAACAAAAUCACCAAUGUCUUCCAUUAUGAUAUGUAUAGACUCAUGUGCAUUAGCUUAUUUAGCGGGACUGUGGUGCCGACAUUAAUAGUAGCCAUGCAUGACCAGUAGUGAUGCUUGCUUCAUGGAGAAUAGUAAAAAUCGAUUUCUAGACUUAAGUUGGAGCUCAAAACUUGAUCAGGUGUCAGAUCAGUACACUACACCGGCAAAUAAACCAUAUCCUGUAUCUAUCUACAGCUUUGACCUACAGUUAUGACUGAUUUUAGGCUCGAUAAAUAAAUCAUGAAGUAUUUGACGAGAUCAGCGUAUUCAGUCAAGUAAUUUAAAUAGGCUUAUCUGCUCAAUGCAUUCAGCUUCAGUUAAAUGCUUUCUGCUAGAGCUGCUGCUGCAAAAAAAAGGGCAUCAACUUUAGAAGCCUAGUUAUCAAACGACGGCCAAAAAAAGCUCCAAAAAAGUCUCAGACGUGACACUGAUAGAACCCUAAAGAGUAAAUGUAAUAUUAAAAGUAGUACUUUAAUUCUAGAUUUUGGAUCUGAUUGGUAGGGAUCCAGCGUAGUGGUCUAGUCAUAGAGUAAAGAUCUCACCCUAACAUUGUAAUGUACAUACCUCAUAGUUUUGGGAUCCAGAGCGUUAUAUUUUAAUCCAUAAAAUUGUAUUUGAUUAGAGUUUUAGAAGCAAUAACCUACAAAUAAUGCAUGAGUUUAGUGCCAGGGUAUAAGUGUUGAAAGGAUUCUGUAAUGUCAUGUGGAAAAGGAUUAUUUUUCCCCCUCCUCUUUUAUGCCUAUGGUAGCUUUUUUGGUCCACUUUUUUUUGGGAUAUGUAUUAUAUUUGGCUUUAGAAUACAGUAUCAUUUAUGACGGUUUGGGCUGCUUCUUGACAGAACAUGGGGUGCUCGAGGACAGAUUUGCAUUGCCAAAAAAAUAAAUAAAUAAGUAAAGGCUAUACCCCCAGCAUUAUAUUCUGCACCACGAUCCAAACCAAACGGUGCAAUAUUGAUGCUUUCUUGCACUGAAAGCGAUGUAAUUAAAUCCGUCACUGUAGCAUCGUUGCAUCCGAUUCCCACCCUCCCCCUUAAGAAAAAAAAAAAUCAUUAACUGCGUGGCUUCAGUGGACAAAUGAACGAACUUGACACUUGUUGAAAAGCACUUUUUUCUCUGUGUGUACAACUGCAUCGUCAUCAUCAUCAUCAUCAUCAUCACCACCCUGUCCUUGAAUACUGUGUUCUAAAAACUCUGUAAUGCUAUACGUGGGAAUUUAUAAUCACACUUUAUAAGCAAGUAGGCAGUUAGCAACAUGAAAUAUAUGGGUUUCAAAAAAAAAUAUGCAUGUCUUAUCAGAAUAACUAAUGAUUUGUAUUGCAUGCAAUAAUCCAACUUUGUAAUGUGAAUGAGUGUUAACUAUGAUGCUGAAAUGUUCAUGUCAGAUGUUCUGUAACAAGGGGACACAUGCAGGAUGACUGACGCAGCAGGAGGCCGCCUGUUGAUGCAGCCUUUAUUAUCUGUUGCGAUCAUACAGGCCAACGACUAGACCUCACUGAAAAACCCGACUGCACAAAAUUCAAAAAUAACCCUCUCGUAGGAAUAUUAUUAACGAUGACUAGAGAAUAAUUUCAGACUGUGUUGUGUCAGACGGAACAGCCACAGUGCAGCUGAGAGGAAUGCUAAAAACAAACAAACAAAACAAAAAAAAAAAUAGAAAGACAUGAAUCAGCCUCUGUUCUCAUGAAGAAAAAAAAAAGCCUAGAAAGAAGAAGAAAAGAAGAUUAGCGACAUUACUUUGUUGAGCUCAACUUUUCCACUGAGAGGUGGACCAUGUAGAAACUAUGCACUCCAGAGGGAGGAACUGGGCAUGCUUAUUACGUGUGAGCCUCUUGUCUGGUUUUGUAUUAACUAAAAAAAAUAAUAAUUAAAAAAAAAAAAAAAAAAAAAUCUGUAUCAGAAAUUCAGCAAUAAAAAGCAGCAUGGUGCCAA
This is a long non-coding RNA of Myripristis murdjan (pinecone soldierfish), 3911 nucleotides long. RefSeq lists it as uncharacterized. The record is from RefSeq and is a predicted model, not a curated record. Lineage: Eukaryota; Metazoa; Chordata; Actinopteri; Holocentriformes; Holocentridae. The transcript is spliced from 2 exons.